GAUGCGCAGCACGAGAGCAAAGGGCGGUUACCCAACGGCCUUCGCUCUCAUGGCGUCCUCCUUGAUGUUACCUAAAAAUAAAACCAAGGGUGAUUAGAAGGUAAUCACCUCCUGGUCAUGCUCCCACUGGUCACCGGUGUCCGCGGGGCGACCCCACAUUGUGACCAGAGCAGGCCUGUGGCUGCGCUCAAAGGCGGGAUCGUUCAUAGCUUUCCUAGCGGGGGCCCUGCGGGACACCCAGGCUGCGCUCCUUUCCCUUGCUCACCUGGACCUGAAGUGAUGGGGGAGGUGUAACAAUGCAGUGGGAAUGCCAAAGUGUGUCUCAGCCGUGCCUUUCACAUUCCAAACAAUUCAAAAGCUUGAAGAAAACCUCAGCAGUUGAAACCGUGAUGCAGUUCAGCAAAGAAGUAGCUCCUGUCCUGGUAAAACAGUGAAGUUCUCAUGGACGACCUCAUUGAGAUUUAAACCUCAGACACAGGGAGCUGACCUAUUCACCUUAGAAUCCUCUGGGGCACCCAUUACAGUGUCUGUACCAAGGAGGCAACAAAGAACGGCAGAACAGACUGGAGCAGAAGGACAACCCAGCAGAGCCAAGCCAAAUCACUGACCCUCAGAGGCCUGAUGUGAAUGCUUCUGGCUUCAGUCCAUUGGAUUCUGCAGUAAUCUGCCGAUCUACAGUAUUACCACAGUAAAUAACCGAUAGACCUGAAAACGAAUGCAUGCCUCGUGCCAAAAUUGCAGGAAACCUCACCAGCAGAAACAAUUUUAUAUGAGGGAAUGUACUCUCUCCUUUGCAUUUUUCCUCAAAUCUAUAUUUUUAGCCCCUCACUUGUCUCUACAGAGCCUCAGUUGCUUAAUCUAAUUGCUGACUGAACAUCUCCAGGAAACUGUGUGUGUCAACGGAGGAUAGAUGUUUUCUCCUAUUAUACUGUGAAGGAAUGGGUGGAA
This 948-nucleotide long non-coding RNA is filed under the name Homo sapiens (human). Its description in RNAcentral is "HSALNT0357876". The record is from RNAcentral. Lineage: Eukaryota; Metazoa; Chordata; Mammalia; Primates; Hominidae.